This 453-nucleotide ribosomal RNA is filed under the name uncultured archaeon EnvI-182. RNAcentral's name for it is "bacterial SSU rRNA". It matches the Rfam family "Archaeal small subunit ribosomal RNA", at positions 901 to 1350 of the family's 1478-position model. The record is from RNAcentral. Lineage: Archaea; Methanobacteriati; Methanobacteriota; Halobacteria; Halobacteriales.
UUUAAUUGGACUCAACGCCGGACAUCUCACCAGCUCCGACUACAGUGAUGACGACCAGGCUGAUGACCUCAUCACGACGCUGUAGAGAGGAGGUGCAUGGCCGCCGCCAGCUCGUACCGUGAGGCGUCCUGUUAAGUCAGGCAACGAGCGAGAUCCACGUUCCUAAUUGCCAGCACCAUCGCACGAUGGGUGGGUACAUUAGGAAGACUGCCAGUGCUAAACUGGAGGAAGGAAUGGGCAACGGUAGGUCAGUAUGCCCCGAAUGGGCUGGGCAACACGCGGGCUACAAUGGUCAGGACAACGGGUUCCAACGCUGAGAAGCGACGGCAAUCUCGCAAACCUGGUCGUAGUUCGGAUUGCGGACUGAAACUCGUCCGCAUGAAGCUGGAUUCGGUAGUAAUCGCGUGUCAGCAGCGCGCGGUGAAUACGUCCCUGCUCCUUGCACACACCGCC